AGGAUGAGGUUGAGGAUGAGUUUGAGGAUGAGGGUGAUGAUGAGGAUGAGUCUGAGGAUGAGGGGAAUGACGCUGAUGAGUUUGAGGAUGAGGGUGGUGAUGAGGAUGACGAUCCUGCUGACGAGGAUACAGCACCUAGUGCAGGUACGGCCACAAGUGAAAAAGGUAAAGGUUACAACCUUCGAGCUGAUCCUCCACGUCGGAGUGCAAAUCGGUAUACACCAUCCGCUUUUAACAGGAUUGCAAAGAAGUGCAGAAAGAUAUACAAAGAUAUCAAGUGGGCACCGAGGAAGUGAAGUUGUAACUAGUUAAUUAUUGAGAAUGUUACCUAGGUUCUUACUACUAUUUAAGAGAUAAUGUGUACUAUUGACUCAUUGAGUAUGUUAACUAGGUUAUUAUUGUUAAGUAGGUUGUUAUUGUUGACUAUGUUUAUUUGGUUAUUGGUAUCUACUUAUUGGAUUUGUAGACUA
Molecule: long non-coding RNA, 470 nt
Organism: Arachis duranensis
Lineage: Eukaryota; Viridiplantae; Streptophyta; Magnoliopsida; Fabales; Fabaceae
Exons: 2
Source: RefSeq, a predicted model, not a curated record